CCUGGUUGAUCCUGCCAGUAGUCAUAUGCUUGUCUAUAAGGCUAAGCCAUGCAUGUCUAGAAUAAGCCCCAGAACGGUGAAUCUGCGAAUGGCUCAUUAAAUCAGUUAUUGUUUAUUUGAUGGUACCUUACUACAUGGAUAACCGUAGUAAUUCUAGAGCUAUUACAUGCGCCAAGCCCCGACUUCUUCACGGAGGAAGGGGUGCAUUUAUUAGAUUCAAACCAUCGUUCGGGUGUCAAAGCCCGUUCUUUUGAUGGUGAGUCAUAAUAACUGAGCGAAUCGAAUGGCUUCACGCCGUCGAUGCCUCAUUCAAAUUUCUGCCCUAUCAGCUUUCGAUGGUAGGAUCUUGGCCUACCAUGGCUAUAACGGGUAACGGGGAAUUAGGGUUCGGUUCCGGAGAGGGAGCUUGAGAAACGGCUACCACAUCCAAGGAUGGCAGCAGGCGCGCAGAUUACCCAAUCCCGACACGGGGAGGUAGUGACAAAAAAUAACAAUGCUGGACUAUUUCUAGUCCGGCAAUUGGAAUGAGAGUAAUUUAAACCAAUUCUCGAGGAGCAAUUGGAGGGCAAGUCUGGUGCCAACAGCCGCGGUAAUUCCAGCUCCAAUAGCGUAUAUUAAAGUUGUUGCAGUUAAAAAGCUCGUAGUCUGACUUUUUCGGCUGGCGGUUUUCAGCGCGUCCGGUUUUUUCAUUAAGAUCGUUGCACGUGCGCCGCCUGGUCGAACGAGGGCACCUCUUCCCCCCUCACGGGGGCGGGGGGGUGUUUUUGUACUUUGGAGGAACGCUUACCGUGCUUUUAAUUAAGUGCGCGCGGGAUUCCGAUAGUUUACUUUGAGAAAAAUAGAGUGUUCAAAGCAGGCGUUUAUUGCCUUUGAAUACAUUAGCAUGGGAUAAUGGAAUAGGACAUUGGUUCUAUUUUCUGAUUUGGUUCGGGGACCGAUGUAAUGAUUAAUAGGGACAGUUGGGGGCAUUCAUAUUCCAUGGCUAGAGGUGAAAUUCUUGGAUUCAUGGAAGAUGAACUACUGCGAAAGCAUUUGUCAAAGAUGUUUUCAUUGAUCAAGAACGAAAGUUAGGGGAGCAAAGACGAUCAGAUACCGUCGUAGUCUUAACCAUAAACGAUGCCGACUAGGGAUCGGUGAGAGUUAGUUUUGAUGACUUCAUCGGCACCUCAUGGGAAACCAAAGUCUUUGGGUUCCGGGGGGAGUAUGGUCGCAAGGCUGAAACUUAAAGGAAUUGACGGAAGGGCACCACCAGGAGUGGAGCCUGCGGCUUAAUUUGACCCAACACGGGAAAACUCACCAGGUCCAGACAUAGUAAGGACUGACAGAUUGAGAGCUCUUUCUUGAUUCUAUGAAAGGUGGCGCAUGGCCGUUCUUAGUUGGUGGAGUGAUUUGUCUGAUUAAUUUCGAUAACGAACGAGACCUUAACCUGCUAACUAGUCACGGCAAG
Molecule: ribosomal RNA, 1447 nt
Filed under: metagenome
Description: SSU rRNA
Rfam family: Eukaryotic small subunit ribosomal RNA
Source: RNAcentral